This 253-nucleotide ribosomal RNA is filed under the name uncultured bacterium. Its description in RNAcentral is "partial 16S ribosomal RNA". It matches the Rfam family "Bacterial small subunit ribosomal RNA", at positions 524 to 776 of the family's 1533-position model. The record is from RNAcentral.
UACAGAGGUCCCGAGCGUUGUUCGGAUUUACUGGGCGUAAAGGGUGCGUAGGUGGCGAGGUAAGUCGGAUGUGAAAGCUCGGAGCUCAACUCCGAAAUGGCAUUGGAAACUACCUUGCUCGAGGGUUGGAGGGGGGACUGGAAUACUUGGUGUAGCAGUGAAAUGCGUAGAUAUCAAGUGGAACACCAGUGGCGAAGGCGAGUCCCUGGACAACUCCUGACACUGAGGCACGAAAGCUAGGGGAGCAAACAGG